UUUCCGUAGGUGAACCUGCGGAAGGAUCAUUAUCGUACAGAGUAUGAGGGGCAUUCGAGGGCUGUCGCUGACCCACAAGUCGUACACGCCCGAGUGUGUCUUCUUGCAUAGUAAUCGCUCUCAACCUUUGUGCAUCCCCGCGUGUUCGCCCUUCGGAAACAUCGCGGAGAGGGACUCGCGUUAUAACACAAAACCACGUUUUAAAAGUGUAGAAUGACCACAUUUAUGCAAACAAUCCAACUUUCAACAACGGAUCUCUUGCCUCACGCAUCGAUAAAG
Molecule: unclassified non-coding RNA, 279 nt
Filed under: plant metagenome
Description: partial contains small subunit ribosomal RNA, internal transcribed spacer 1, and 5.8S ribosomal RNA
Source: RNAcentral